CCCUGGCCCUGGGCUGGGCUUUGGCUUGGAGCUCGACCUUCACCUUGGCUCUGGUGCCUGAGCCUGGCCCUGGUCUUAGAUCUGAGCUGGGCUUUGGCCUGGGGCUCAAUCUUGGCCUUGGCCUUGGUGACUGAGCCUGACUUUGGCUGGGGGCUAGGCUGGGGACCUGGCCCAGGCUGGGCCCUUGCUGGGCAGAGUGAAAGGUAAGGAAGGGCUGCCCCUUCCCUAUGUGCUGAGGCAGCCGUUGGCACAGCUAAAGUCAAAGGCCAAGCAGAGCCUCAGUGUCUAUGAGCACCACAGGUGUUCCCCACCCAGUGCCCAGGCUCAUGGCGUCCAACAUCAGAGGGCAAAGGGGAAGAAAUGAGCUUUUCCAGGCACUUAGCAGGGAAGAACUAUCAUCUCUCAACACCUGCAAUGUUCAGCUGAUGUCCUGAAUGCUAAUUUGUGAUUAUCCUUUGCUUAAUGUUUGUCCUUUCAACCGUUAUGGAUUGAAAUGAUUUUACUACAAUGUUUGGCUUAAUGACCUUCUGCAGCAGUGGACUGAACAGAAUGAAAUGUUUCAUAAAGUGAUUUUGUUAAUUUGCCUUUAAGUUCUCUGCUAUUAAGUCAAUAAGUUGCUAUCUCUCUUGCAUUUCAGCCGUGUUCAUAUCAUUUUUAUAGCUUAACGGUGGGCCGAAGGUAGCUCCUAUCAACAAAGGAUGCACCAACUGAUAUUUUGCCAUUUUGGUUGCUCACCGUAGUCCCCCUUGCCAAAACUCAGGUGUUCACUGGUAAUGUCCUAGACUAUGGUAUGUCAGAUCUCAAAAACUAGAGAGACUUGGGCCCGAUCAAUAUUUGGAUGAGCUACCUCGUUAGGUACUGCGGAAAGUGCUGCUGGUGAUUCAUUCAGUGGCAUUCAUCUGUCUAUGAGUCAGGGCUGAACAAAUGCCACUGCACAGCAUUGGUGGCAUUAUCCGGGGGCAUAAAACUGGAGAUCUGUGCCAAUUGCAGCUGUUAGGAGAUCACUGAUUUUCUUACCUUACUUCAGUUUUAAUAUGGGUUUCCAGAACUAGCCAACAGUUUUGGUGGAAUACAGCAAAGGGUUUCCACAGUUGCUUUUGUCAGGCACCGCUCUUUAAUGGUGGUGGGGCCAGGAACAGCAGCAGCGAUGGUGGCCAUGGGCAUUGCUGUAGGCAGCCACAGAUGCUGGCUUUGUGUCAGACCAUAUGGUUUUGAAUUGGUGCAUGCAGCACUGAUUGUACGUGCCCCACUGCCUUGAGAGCCCUGGGAGAGAGCAUCCCUCAUGCCUGCUCCAUGCUUCCCAGGGGUGCUGCUCCCUCAUGUCCCUUGCAGGUGAAAUUAAGAAAUCUGUGCAAUGUUUUGAGUGUAUGGGUGCAGACAUACAGCUGGAACAAGGGAAAGCUGAGAGUGUUUUGGACUCUUCUCCCUAUCCAGACACUGGUCCUAGUGAACUUCCUGGGAGGACCCAUGGAGACAGAAUUUAUUUACUGUAUCAUACCAGAUAUACAUCCAAGUGCUAAUGAUGAACAUUUACAAAAUUGAUGUUGUAGCUAAAGCCAAUAGAGAAGAGGAGAUAUAUUCAUCAGGGAAACGUUUUCAAAAGUACCCUCUUAAGAUACAGUUUUGACUCUAUAGUAUUGCACCCCUUCUGUGGCUCUCAUUUCUUCAGUCAAAUAAAGGCAUACUGCAUCUUCACCUGAGCUGCAUAACACUCACUGUGUUUGUCCGAAUAGCUUUCAAAGAGGCUGCUGAAGAGUAUAAAUUAUUUGCUGGUUUCUGAUUUGCAUGAAAGGAUUUGAACUGUAAAAAUCCCACUUUAAUAUCAGAAUGAUGUAUCAAAAUCAAAGUUUGAUUAAUGCUGGGCAUGAUUCAUUUCAAUGGUAAAAUACAUGUUUGUGGGAGAAAAGAAGUCUGAGAUUUAAUGGAUAUGAUCAGCUGUGUUUUCACAUAAUUUGGCAAACUAGUAGAAUUCAAAACACAUUGAGCAAUGGCAUAUAAUAACAUGUUUAUCUUGUCUAUAACUGGUGUUUGACACUUGUUAAAGAAUAAAUAUUGUAUGAUAUAUUUUAGCAUACCUUUGUCAAAAUGCUGAUGGAC
Long non-coding RNA from Calidris pugnax (ruff), 2097 nucleotides. RefSeq lists it as uncharacterized. The record is from RefSeq and is a predicted model, not a curated record. The transcript is spliced from 3 exons. Lineage: Eukaryota; Metazoa; Chordata; Aves; Charadriiformes; Scolopacidae.